CUGUUAAGAUCAUCUUUUGCUUGUUCUGUUUGGUGAAGUAUCCAUCUUGGCAAAAUAGUCAGUUUGCCUCCGUCCUUCCAAAUAUAUUGGAACUACUCUCCUGGAGCCACGUUCCUCCUACUCAGUAAAGGAGAGCAAGUCAUGCUGAAGCUAGAUUGCAUAUACUUCUUGGUAACUGUGGAGUAAAAGAAGUGAACACUAAGGUUUCUA
Molecule: long non-coding RNA, 210 nt
Organism: Prionailurus viverrinus (fishing cat)
Lineage: Eukaryota; Metazoa; Chordata; Mammalia; Carnivora; Felidae
Exons: 3
Source: RefSeq, a predicted model, not a curated record